GAAUCUUGGACAAUGGGGGCAACCCUGAUCCAGCGACGCCGCGUGGGUGAUGAAGGCCUUCGGGUUGUAAAGCCCUUUCGCCGGGGACGAUGAUGACGGUACCCGGGGCAGAAGCCCCGGCUAACUCCGUGCCAGCAGCCGCGGUAAGACAGAGGGGGCAAGCGUUGCUCGGAAUCACUGGGCGUAAAGGGCGCGUAGGCGGGAUGGCAAGUCAGUCGUGAAAUCUCUCGGCUCAACCGAGAAACGUCGGCUGAUACUGCCGUUCUUGAGGGAUGCAGAGGAGACUGGAAUUCCCGGUGUAGCGGUGAAAUGUGUAGAGAUCGGGAGGAACACCGGUGGCGAAGGCGGGUCUCUGGGCAUUUCCUGACGCUGAGGCGCGAAAGCGUGGGGAGCAAAC
This 397-nucleotide ribosomal RNA is filed under the name uncultured bacterium. Its description in RNAcentral is "bacterial SSU rRNA". It matches the Rfam family "Bacterial small subunit ribosomal RNA", at positions 359 to 773 of the family's 1533-position model. The record is from RNAcentral.